RNAcentral lists this ribosomal RNA (460 nucleotides) under uncultured bacterium. RNAcentral's name for it is "partial 16S ribosomal RNA". It matches the Rfam family "Bacterial small subunit ribosomal RNA", at positions 338 to 795 of the family's 1533-position model. The record is from RNAcentral.
CCUACGGGAGGCUGCAGUGAGGAAUAUUGGUCAAUGGACGAGAGUCUGAACCAGCCAAGUAGCGUGAAGGAUGACUGCCCUAUGGGUUGUAAACUUCUUUUAUAUGGGAAUAAAAUGUUCCACGUGUGGGAUUUUGUAUGUACCAUAUGAAUAAGGAUCGGCUAACUCCGUGCCAGCAGCCGCGGUAAUACGGAGGAUCCGAGCGUUAUCCGGAUUUAUUGGGUUUAAAGGGAGCGUAGGUGGAUUGUUAAGUCAGUUGUGAAAGUUUGCGGCUCAACCGUAAAAUUGCAGUUGAAACUGGCAGUCGUGAGUACAGUAGAGGUGGGCGGAAUUCGUGGUGUAGCGGUGAAAUGCUUAGAGAUCACGAAGAACUCCGAUUGCGAAGGCAGCUCACUGGACUGCAACUGACACUGAGGCUCGAAAGUGUGGUUAUCAAACAGGAUUAGAUACCCCAGUAGUC